CAUGGGGGGUGCUACCAUGCAAGUCGAACGAGAAAUUUCCGCCUCGGCGGAGAGAGUAAAGUGGCGCACGGGUGAGUAACGCGUGGGUAACCUGCCUUUGAAUCUAGGAUAACCCCGUGAAAACGGGACUAAUACUGGAUAAUGUCCCUUUGGCUGUGGCCUUAGGGAUGAAAGGUGACCUCUUCAUGAAAGUUGCCGUUCAAAGAGGGGCCCGCGUACCAUUAGCUUGUUGGUGGGGUAAUGGCCUACCAAGGCUACGAUGGUUAGCUGGUCUGAGAGGAUGAUCAGCCACACUGGAACUGGAACACGGUCCAGACUCCUACGGGAGGCAGCAGUGAGGAAUUUUGCGCAAUGGGGGAAACCCUGACGCAGCAACGCCGCGUGAGUGAUGAAGAUUUUCGGAUCGUAAAGCUCUGUCAAGUGGGAAAAAAUUCUUUCGGUUAAUAGCCGGAAGAACUGAUGGUACCGCUGGAGGAAGCACCGGCUAACUCCGUGCCAGCAGCCGCGGUAAUACGGAGGGUGCAAGCGUUGUUCGGAUUUACUGGGCGUAAAGAGCGUGUAGGUGGUUUAGCAAGUCAGAUGUGAAAGCCCUGGGCUCAACUCAGGAAGUGCAUUUGAAACUGCUAUUCUAGAGUAUGGGAGAGGAGAGUGGAAUUCCCAGUGUAGAGGUGAAAUUCGUAGAUAUUGGGAGGAACACCGGUGGCGAACGCGACUCUCUGGACCAAUACUGACACUGAGACGCGAAAGCGUGGGGAGCAAACAGGAUUAGAUACCCUGGUAGUCCACGCCGUAACGAUGAGACUAGUGUAGCGGGUAUUGA
Molecule: ribosomal RNA, 820 nt
Filed under: uncultured Desulfobacterium sp.
Lineage: Bacteria; Pseudomonadati; Thermodesulfobacteriota; Desulfobacteria; Desulfobacterales; Desulfobacteriaceae
Also listed under: 1 other name
Description: bacterial SSU rRNA
Rfam family: Bacterial small subunit ribosomal RNA
Source: RNAcentral